AUGUAACGUUAUGGCAUCUAUGUGAAAAUUGUAUUGUCAUUCCGUCAAUAAAUCGUUUAUUUAUAUAGAUGUCUUUUUCCACUUUAUAUACACAAUGCAUUCUUUAAUAUACGAUCUGGAGAUUGGUAUUAGGCAGUCGUGUUAUCUGACAUGUUGCCUUAUUGAUUGCAAUAAGGUGGAAAGGUUCCGAAUAAUUUUGAUGGGUAAGGCUCGCAAACAGUAUUAGUGACUUGGUAUAUCGCAUUCAAAAGUUAGAAUCGUCAAAACCAAGAGUUGUUCAUAACAACAGACUAAAACCGUAUCAUGGAGAUUUUGACAAUUGGCUAAUUAAAACUGUAAUUCAAAGAGACCACGAGUCUCACGCUACCGCAAUCGAAGAAAAUAACAUUGAGUCUGACAUUGAAUUGAGUGAAAAUGAACAGUGUGAUAUGUAUAAUCUUCCAACUGACAAUAUUGAAUACGGUCACGGACAUCGUGUGAAACGUCCACCCAACAGAUACGUGCCUGAUUAGAACUUUGUUGAAGUUAUAUAUAUAUAUGAACAUUUAAAAUUGAUAUGAACAUUGCAUGUUUUCAUGAUUAUGAUUGAGUUAUUUU
Molecule: long non-coding RNA, 597 nt
Filed under: Mytilus galloprovincialis (Mediterranean mussel)
Lineage: Eukaryota; Metazoa; Mollusca; Bivalvia; Mytilida; Mytilidae
Source: RNAcentral